Molecule: ribosomal RNA, 254 nt
Filed under: uncultured bacterium
Lineage: Bacteria
Description: partial 16S ribosomal RNA
Rfam family: Bacterial small subunit ribosomal RNA
Source: RNAcentral
UACGUAGGGUGCAAGCGUUGUCCGGAAUUAUUGGGCGUAAAGAGCUCGUAGGCGGUCUGUCGCGUCGGGUGUGAAAACUCUGGGCUCAACCCAGAGCCGCCACCCGAUACUGCUGUGACUUGAGUUCGGUAGGGGAGCGGGGAAUUCCUGGUGUAGCGGUGAAAUGCGCAGAUAUCAGGAGGAACACCAGUGGCGAAGGCGCCGCUCUGGGCCGAGACUGACGCUGAGGAGCGAAAGCGUGGGUAGCAAACAGG